Molecule: non-coding RNA, 449 nt
Organism: Pantherophis guttatus
Lineage: Eukaryota; Metazoa; Chordata; Lepidosauria; Squamata; Colubridae
Source: RefSeq, a predicted model, not a curated record
AAUGUUCCGGUUCAAUACUCUUUUUUUUUUGCUUUUGCUACGUAGGAGGUACAAAUUACUGCAAUUUUGGUUGUUCCCAUAAAGACUUAGCUGACCGUGGACUUUGAAUUGUCCACCUGCUCCAUGGGAAUUCAACAUGGAGUCACAUUGAAAAUAAGAAGCUAGGGAGACUGCAUACUGACAAAGAGGUUUUUGUACAAGAGAGGUUCCCAUGCACUCUUCACUAAAUCAUAAGUAAGAGAUGUCAAAGGCUCAAUGAGUGUCCCUGACUACUGGCAAAGAAGGGACAUUCACAACAAUUCCUUGCAAGGUAACAAAACGAGGACAGUCCAAGACUUCAGCAGUAAAGUGUUAAAAGAAAAAAAAAACUCAACAAAAAAGAAAGCAUGGUGACAAGGAAAAGAAGAAUUCCUGGGAAAUGAGUCAUCUACACCUUUUCAAGGACAGCU